UCUACCAGCCAUGCCCACAUUGAACAAAGCCGGAUCCCCAUCUGAUCUCGGAAGCUAAGCAGGGUCGGGUCUGGUUAGUUCCUGGAUGGGAGAAACACCUAGGAAGACUAGGUGCUGCAGGC
RNAcentral lists this ribosomal RNA (122 nucleotides) under Pteropus vampyrus (large flying fox). The record is from RNAcentral. Lineage: Eukaryota; Metazoa; Chordata; Mammalia; Chiroptera; Pteropodidae.